CCUACGGGAGGCAGCAGUAGGGAAUCUUUCACAAUGGGCGACAGCCUGAUGGAGCAACGCCGCGUGCAGGCUGAAGGCCUUCGGGUUGUAAACUGCUUUUAUAAGCGAGAAAUAUGAUGGUAACUUAUGAAUAAGGAUCGGCUAACUACGUGCCAGCAGCCGCGGUCAUACGUAGGAUCCGAGCAUUAUCCGGAGUGACUGGGUGUAAAGAGUUGCGUAGGUGGCAUAAUAAGUAGCUAGUGAAAUCUGGUGGCUCAACCAUUCAGACUAUUAGCUAAACUGUUAAGCUCGAGACCGUUAGGGGUAACUGGAAUUUCUAGUGUAGGAGUGAAAUCCGUAGAUAUUAGAAGGAACACCAAUAGCGUAGGCAGGUUGCUGGGACGGUUCUGACACUAAGGCACGAAAGCGUAGGGAGCAAACGGGAUUAGAUACCCUAGUAGUC
RNAcentral lists this ribosomal RNA (442 nucleotides) under uncultured bacterium. RNAcentral describes it as "partial 16S ribosomal RNA". It matches the Rfam family "Bacterial small subunit ribosomal RNA", at positions 338 to 795 of the family's 1533-position model. The record is from RNAcentral.